AGCGGCGCACGGGUGAGUAACACUUGGGUAAUCUGCCCUGGAGUGGGGAAUAACACCGGGACACCGGUGCUAAUACCGCAUGCGAUAACGAGGUCUGAGGACUUCGGUAUGAAAGGAGUAAUUCGCUCUAGGAGGAGCCCGCGGCUGAUUACCUAGUUGGUGAGGUAAUGGCUCACCAAGGCUUCUAUCAGUAUCCGGUCUGAGAGGACGGUCGGACACACUGGAACUGAGACACGGUCCAAACUCCUACGGGAGGCAGCAGUGGGGAAUUUUUGGCAAUGGGGGAGACCCUGACCAAGCAACGCCGCGUGGGUGAUGAAGUAUUUCGGUAUGUAAAACCCUUUCGACGGGGAAGAAAACCGCAAGGUUUGACGGUACCCGUAGAAAAAGCCCCGGCUAACUCCGUGCCAGCAGCCGCGGUAAUACGGGGGGGGCAAGCGUUGUUCGGAAUUACUGGGCGUAAAGGGUGCGUAGGCGGUCCGCUAAGUUAGAUGUGAAAAACUCUGGGCUUUAACCCAGAGCCCUGCAUCUAA
This 533-nucleotide ribosomal RNA is filed under the name uncultured bacterium. Its description in RNAcentral is "bacterial SSU rRNA". It matches the Rfam family "Bacterial small subunit ribosomal RNA", at positions 94 to 630 of the family's 1533-position model. The record is from RNAcentral.